CACAAAACAGGUGCCUACAUACACCUUUAGAGAGAGAAAGAGAAAAACCCUUUAAUAUGUAUAUAGAGAAAGACAAAUGAAGCUGUUGGGUUUCAACGAGAAGGUUGAGCUUAUGCAAGCCUAGUGAUGUCGUUAGUGGGUUAGAUGGGUUUAUGACUAGAACAUCCUUCACAUCAAGGUUCUGCAUUUGUGCUUGUUCUUAUGCCUCUUUGAGGGUUGAUUUGGUGAUUCUAAAACCAUUUGGAAGAAGACAGCUUUCUUCAAGAGUGAAUCUGUGGAUGAUUAUCAUUUUUGAAUUCGACCGAUUCAAGAUUAUUCUUGAUCCAUGAUUCCAGAAGGUUAAAGGAGAGUUGAUUUUGAGCGAGACCCAAAUGAAUGAUACCAUUGAGAUUUCAUCUCCUUCACACAAACCCCUCGCCAUCGACCCUCCCCCAUUCAUGUAGCCAGAAAGAAAGUUAACCCAGUCCACAUACCAAUAUGAUAUUAUUAUCCAGAUUAUAAACCAAUUACUAGCCAAGUCGGAUUCUGUGCAAAAAUCUUUCAUGCAAAAUCAAGAUCCUGCCUCAAAUGAUCCAUCUCUGAAUAAUUUGUUCUCAUUUCUUCCGCGAACCCUAAAGUUUUCGAUCUUGCUCUUCUUAUAGUUUUCAAAACAACAUUAUUUAUAGUCAACACAAACACUUUUUCCUGGUUAACCUCAAACAAGCCUUUUGGCAAUGAAACUCCCAUCACAAUAGGCACAUUCGCCACUUUAAAUCCUUUCUUUGCUAAAUAGAUCGACAAUGGAGUCUUCCCUGUUCGUGAAACACCAGCAAGAACAAUGUCUUAUUUGUGUAAGUUCUGGGGUAAAGCUCUGUCAUCUUGUUUUAUGGUGAAUUCAAUUGUAUAGAUUCUCUUGAUGUAAUCUUCGGUUAGGGGGAAUUUCCUGUCCAAAGCACCACGGGCAGCCCCGAAGGGGGAAAUGCCAAACGCCUUGUUCCCAAGUUCCACUGGAUGGAUAAAGAAGGGAAGUGAGGGAUAUCGAAGGAAAAUCGUGUUCCCGAGUUUAAUUAAUGGAAGGAAAGUGAGGGGAGGGAAAGGAUUUUGGAGUCAUAUUUUCCUCCUAAAUUGGGCAGAUUUGGGAAGAAAGUGAGGGGAAGGAAAAUUUUCAGUUUUAUUUUCUUUUUCCUCCUAACUCAGGUCCGUUCAUUUCCUUCGAACUCGGAACACGAAAUAAUGAAUAUUUUUCUUCCUCUCCCUUUCUUUUUGUCAAAAUUUUUCUUCCUUUCCUUUAUUGAAAUUACAAAAAAAAAACUUGGGAACAAGGCAUAAGCGCAAUGUGAUUGCUUCUGUGCUCGGGCUAAGGAUGUCGGUGGAUAGAACACCCCAUCGUUUGCAGGCGUGUCGAGCUGAGGCAACAUGUUUUUAUCAGUACUUCUGAGGGUCGCGGGAAGCCGAAGAUCUUAUUGUACACACUCGUUGGGAUAUUUGUUACCGAGGCAUUUUGUGAUACUCUGAUAUUUAGUGAUGAUGAUUUGUAUUUGACACUUAUGUUUUUCGAUGACUUGGUUUAUGAACAAUAUUUUGGGUAAUUUAAAAAUGAAAAUUUUGGUUUGAA
This is a long non-coding RNA of Lactuca sativa (garden lettuce), 1594 nucleotides long. RefSeq lists it as uncharacterized. Lineage: Eukaryota; Viridiplantae; Streptophyta; Magnoliopsida; Asterales; Asteraceae. The record is from RefSeq and is a predicted model, not a curated record.